Molecule: ribosomal RNA, 257 nt
Filed under: uncultured soil bacterium
Lineage: Bacteria
Description: partial 16S ribosomal RNA
Rfam family: Bacterial small subunit ribosomal RNA
Source: RNAcentral
AGGACGAACGCUGGCGGCGUGCUUAACACAUGCAAGUCGGACGGUGAUCCCCGCUUGCGGGGUGAUCAGUGGCGAACGGGUGAGUAACACGUGAGCAACCUGCCCUUGGCUUCGGGAUAACUCCGGGAAACCGGGGCUAAUACCGGAUGUGACAUGCCCGCGCAUGGGGGUGUGUGGAAAGAUUUAUCGGCCAGGGAUGGGCUCGCGGCCUAUCAGCUUGUUGGUGGGGUGAUGGCCUACUAAGGCGACGACGGGUA